RNAcentral lists this ribosomal RNA (564 nucleotides) under uncultured Actinomycetes bacterium. RNAcentral describes it as "bacterial SSU rRNA". It matches the Rfam family "Bacterial small subunit ribosomal RNA", at positions 338 to 916 of the family's 1533-position model. The record is from RNAcentral. Lineage: Bacteria; Bacillati; Actinomycetota; Actinomycetes.
CCUACGGGAGGCAGCAGUGGGGAAUCUUGCGCAAUGGGCGAAAGCCUGACGCAGCAACGCCGCGUGCGGGAUGAAGGCCUUCGGGUUGUAAACCGCUUUUACCAGGAAGGAAAAUGACAGUACCUGGAGAAUAAGGUGCGGCCAACUACGUGCCAGCAGCCGCGGUGACACGUAGGCACCAAGCGUUGUCCGGAUUUAUUGGGCGUAAAGAGCUCGUAGGCGGUUCAGUAAGUCGGGUGUGAAAACUCUGGGCUUAACCCAGAGACGCCACCCGAUACUGCUGUGACUUGAGUCCGGUAGGGGAGUGGGGAAUUCCUGGUGUAGCGGUGAAAUGCGCAGAUAUCAGGAGGAACACCAAUGGCGAAGGCACCACUCUGGGCCGAGACUGACGCUGAGGAGCGAAAGCGUGGGUAGCAAACAGGAUUAGAUACCCUGGUAGUCCACGCCGUAAACGGUGGGCACUAGGUGUGGGUUCCAACCAACGGAAUCCGCGCCGUCGCUAACGCAUUAAGUGCCCCGCCUGGGGAGUACGGCCGCAAGGUUAAAACUCAAAGGAAUUGACGG